CACGUAGGGUGCGAGCGUUGUCCGGAAUUAUUGGGCGUAAAGAGCUCGUAGGCGGUGUGUCGCGUCGGCCGUGAAAACCUGCAGCUUAACUGUGGGCUUGCGGUCGAUACGGGCAUCACUGGAGUUCGGCAGGGGAGACUGGAAUUCCUGGUGUAGCGGUGAAAUGCGCAGAUAUCAGGAGGAACACCGGUGGCGAAGGCGGGUCUCUGGGCCGAUACUGACGCUGAGGCGCGAAAGCUAGGGGAGCAAACGGG
RNAcentral lists this ribosomal RNA (254 nucleotides) under uncultured bacterium. RNAcentral describes it as "partial 16S ribosomal RNA". It matches the Rfam family "Bacterial small subunit ribosomal RNA", at positions 524 to 776 of the family's 1533-position model. The record is from RNAcentral.